This is a non-coding RNA of Podarcis lilfordi (Lilford's wall lizard), 110 nucleotides long. Lineage: Eukaryota; Metazoa; Chordata; Lepidosauria; Squamata; Lacertidae. The record is from the annotation of a GenBank genome assembly.
ACCUUAGAGACCAACUAAGUUUGUUAUUGGUAUGAGCUUUCGUGUAUCUGAAGAAGUGUGCAUGCACACGAAAGCUCAUACCAAUAACAAACUUAGUUGGUCUCUAAGGU